RNAcentral lists this ribosomal RNA (475 nucleotides) under uncultured organism. RNAcentral's name for it is "partial 16S ribosomal RNA". It matches the Rfam family "Bacterial small subunit ribosomal RNA", at positions 331 to 797 of the family's 1533-position model. The record is from RNAcentral.
GUACACUCCUGCGGGAGGCAGCAGUGGGGAAUUUUGGACAAUGGGCGAAAGCCUGAUCCAGCAAUGCCGCGUGUGUGAAGAAGGCCUUCGGGUUGUAAAGCACUUUUGUCCGGAAAGAAAUCCUUGGCUCUAAUACAGUCGGGGGAUGACGGUACCGGAAGAAUAAGCACCGGCUAACUACGUGCCAGCAGCCGCGGUAAUACGUAGGGUGCGAGCGUUAAUCGGAAUUACUGGGCGUAAAGCGUGCGCAGGCGGUUUGCUAAGACCGAUGUGAAAUCCCCGGGCUCAACCUGGGAACUGCAUUGGUGACUGGCAGGCUAGAGUAUGGCAGAGGGGGGUAGAAUUCCACGUGUAGCAGUGAAAUGCGUAGAGAUGUGGAGGAAUACCGAUGGCGAAGGCAGCCCCCUGGGCCAAUACUGACGCUCAUGCACGAAAGCGUGGGGAGCAAACAGGAUUAGAAACCCCGGUAGUCCCA